Molecule: long non-coding RNA, 560 nt
Filed under: Cricetulus griseus (Chinese hamster)
Lineage: Eukaryota; Metazoa; Chordata; Mammalia; Rodentia; Cricetidae
Description: lncRNA (ENSCGRG00015010152.2)
Source: RNAcentral
GAAAGACCCGCUCGAAAUGCCCCUGAGCCCCCUGCCCCGAAGCUGCCGGGGCCUCCCAAGCCUUCAUCCCGGCAGGGCUCGGUCCCCCGGCCCACCCCGCCUGGCACCGCGCCUCGGGGCUGGGGCCGAGCAACGAGCACCAGAUGGGCAGGCCCGAGAACGAGCACCAGGUAGGCUGGGGCCGAGCAACGAGCACCAGAUGGGCAGGCCCGAGAACGAGCACCAGGUAGGCUGGGGCCGAGCAACGAGCACCAGGUGGGCCGGCACGAGGGCGAGCACCAGGUGGGCCGGCAUGAGAACGAACACCAAGGGAGCCGGCCUGGAGCCCUGCCCCUGAGCCCCGCCCAAUGAGAAACACUCCGUCCCAAGGUCUCCGCCCCCAAGGUCAGCCAUCUGGACGCGGAGGGAGGGGGAAUUGAGUCUGUUGUACCAGACACCAGACCUUGAGAAUAUGCUGAUCUGGAAUGGCUCUGUGUCUCAUUUGAACCAUCCAAUAGAAAUGAUUCUGUAUUUCGCCUCAUUUGAAAGACUCUGUGUUUCACCUCAUUUGAAUAACUCUG